RNAcentral lists this ribosomal RNA (407 nucleotides) under uncultured bacterium. RNAcentral's name for it is "partial 16S ribosomal RNA". It matches the Rfam family "Bacterial small subunit ribosomal RNA", at positions 30 to 526 of the family's 1533-position model. The record is from RNAcentral.
AUUGAACGCUGGCGGCAGGCCUAACACAUGCAAGUCGAGCGGAGCGGCGGACGGGUGAGUAAUGCCUAGGAAUCUGCCUGGUAGUGGGGGAUAACGUCCGUAAACGGGCGCUAACACCGCAUACUAUCAGACGAGCUUAGCUCGGAUUAGCUAGCUGGUGGGGUACAGGCCUACCAAGGCGACGAUCCGUAACUGGUCUGAGAGGAUGAUCAGUCACACUGGAACGGAGACACGGUCCAGACUCCUACGUGAGGCAGCAAUGGGGAAUAUGGGACAAUGGGCUAUGGCCUGGUCCAGCCAUGCCGCGUGUGUGAAGAAGGUCUUCGGAUUUUAUAGCACGUUAAGUUGGGAUGCGUUACCAACAGAAUAAGCACCGGCUAACUUCGUGCCAGCAGCCGCGGUAAUAC